CCCCAACUAGCUUUGUCGGUAAAGCAUGAGACUCAUAACCUCAAGGUAGUGGGUUCAUGUCCCAUGUUGGGUG
Molecule: transfer RNA, 73 nt
Organism: Lepisosteus oculatus (spotted gar)
Lineage: Eukaryota; Metazoa; Chordata; Actinopteri; Semionotiformes; Lepisosteidae
Rfam family: tRNA
About the family: Transfer RNA (tRNA) molecules are approximately 80 nucleotides in length.
Source: Rfam